This 40443-nucleotide long non-coding RNA is filed under the name Triticum aestivum (bread wheat). Its description in RNAcentral is "long non-coding RNA (TAES_LNC027085)". The record is from RNAcentral. Lineage: Eukaryota; Viridiplantae; Streptophyta; Magnoliopsida; Poales; Poaceae.
UACAAACUUGCAAUGACAAUUCCAAGUCCAUGUCAAUUGACAAGUUGAACAUAACACAAACGAGAGGUUCAUCUCCAAGCUAGCAGUGACAAUUCAUAGUUCAUGACUUGAAAGGUUCCAACAUAACAGAAAUGCAAAAGUAGCCUUCACAUGAGAAAGAUCACUUUGACAUUCAUCUCCAAAAUAGCAAGAUCAACAUCCACAUGAUGAACGUCUACAAGUAAGAUAAGCAACAUUCACAUAAAUAAUACUUGGUAUCGUAUGACAAGUGAAACAUGUAGGAAGAAUAGUUACCAAUCAUUGAUCUCCUCCACCACAAUGGGUAACUUUAUGUUCUCAACAUCAUCCUCUUCAUUCUCAUCCCUCGGCUACAAGUGUGGAAGUUAGACAAAUGCUCACAUCACAAACAACAAGACCAAAAAAGAAAGAAAAAAAGGUAAGGAAAAGAUGGCAAACAUACCACCAGAUUCAAGUCAACAUGAGCACCCUUGAUAUAACUUGCACCACAAACUAAUGCCUCCACCAUAACCGGUUUUAACGAACUCCUAUAGUCAUCUAAUGCGACACAAGUUGACAAACUAGUUUGAGGAUGAGAAGUUGACAAGUUUAUAACCAAAGUUCAAUAGUACGAGUUGACAAACCUAAAAUCCUUCCGGUCGUGCUGAAGGUCGAUUCCGAAGACACGGAGGUAGCCGGGAUAGUAAGGAACCUCCUGGCUAUCUUGGCCAUAAUUGGGUACCUAGGAGCAUUGUCUUUCCACCAACCAAGAAGAUCAAGAGCCUUGUUGCGAGGGGCAACCUCAUCCUGUAAGUAGUUCCUCAACUCACUCUUUGAUAUUCUUGUUGAACGGGACGAUAAGAAGGACUCGUACCCAGCUUGAACCGGGAUACUAGGAAUGUUUGCAAGGACUGGAGCUGUAACUAACUAUUACCACAUAAACCUGGAUAAACUUACCUAUCGCCCUUAAAUUAGUAGUCAAUUGACCAGUAAAGAUUAAUAGAUUUCUUACUAAAUCUGAAACAUAGCAGCAGCAUCAGGUUGUAAGGGGCUAUUGAUACCGCUCAGCAUAGGUUAAGUUCCAAAAGCAAUUAAAGGUUGCAAGCACUUACCAAAGUAUAGUAAACCAAACAAGCUAUCAUAGUCUGUUGAUGGUUCACAAGCACAGUGGGGAAAAGGUGCCUAUUGAUUACUAGUACUUCAUUCCCCUUCUCCUUCACUACAUCUCCUGAAACUCUUUACUAAUUAUCUCCUGACAACUUAUUAGGUCAAGCAACACCUGGUGCCUAUAUGCCAAAUCCUGGGAAUGCAUCUUUCAGUGCUACAACUCAAUCCUCUCAUGCACAAUUCCCAGGCAUGUUACGCAUGUACCAUCUGCAGCAGCCUCCCUCAAUCGUAAGUCCACAUCCAAUGGUAUAGGUUAGAGAAAGAUUACCUCUUCCUCUUCAUGGCGCUCGGUGAGGAACCAGGGAAGGACGGACCGACGGCGUGCUGGCCUUGCUGCCUCCCCGAUGUACACGUGCUCCUCCAGCUCGGACUCGGAUGAGAUGGCGCCGUCGGUUAAGGGAGAGGCCGUGGGUCAGGCUGAGACGCGGGCAACGGCACCGUCGCCUUAGGGUUAGGGUUAGGGAUAGAACAGAGGAGACACUGCCUCUGUUUGCAGAAGGAAUCGAGCGAGGAGGGGGAAUGGAACAAGGGGGAAGGGGGUUGCUCGGCUCGGGGGCUCGGGGCCUCGAUCUGUUACACAGUUUAUGGGCCUUGCGCCAUCAGUCCGCUCGGUCGGCCCGGUUAAAGACCGGACUGGACCGAACUUUUUUCGGUUUGUUUUGCUGGGCUCGGACCGGCAUAUUUUCCUAUCGGGCCUGGACCGUGCGGGCCGGUCCUAAACUGGCCAUGAGCGGGCUGCAAAGGCCGCUCGUGCCGUCCAGGCUGAGUCAAGACUGAUCGAUUCCAACGGAGUUGCCUCAUGGAGUCAACGUACAAUUAUCAAUCUCAUGAACCUUCUCCCCAUCCAAAAUCCUGUGGAAACAAUUAGAGUAGUUGGAACCGUGGAGGGCGGUGAUGUCGUUUUCGUCACCACAGUGCUGGGCAUCUAUGAGAUUAAUGUCGAUUCGCAGCUAUGGAAGAAGCUAGGGAAGAGAGAAGAUUUAGAUGCUAUGAUUCCAUACAUGAGUUUCUACAAUCGGUAAGGUAUAGUUGUAUGUAUAUGUCAUUUAUUCUGAUUUGGGAACACUUGUUAAGUUAUACACCAAAUAAGUUAGUGGAACAAACAAAACGAUCGAUCUCGAAUCAGAUAUAAAGUUUCGUUUCAAAAGUUCCCAAGCAAAGUUCUGGUGAUUUGUAAUUACAACUAAUUAUGCUAAUUUAAUUGGCUAUUUAUAUCGUAUCAUGGCAUCCCCUUUUUGGAAUCACACCGGCAAAUUUAUGUUUGCAGAAAGGGUGAUGCCCAGUGACGUGGCGCAUUGACAAGGUAUGGUUGAAUAUGCUUAAGGGCAGGAGGCCACUCUCAUCAACAGGAAAGAUGACAAGCUUAGGCGGCAUGGGUCUUGUGAUGAAUUAUAUCACUACAUAGUAGCCCUUUGGUGCAGUGGUGCUUGCUUGAUUUCUCAUACUGCUUUUAGCUUUUUUCAGCAAGCUUGACAGUUUCCCCAUGUUGUUUUCGUGCGUAAUUGGAUGAUGGACUAUGUUGUGAACUUGUAAUGAACCUUCAAUUCUUGCAGCAGUAGUAGUAACCAUUUGCUCUGUUGUAUAAUUUGAUAUGAAAAUGCAGAUGCGGAUAGUAGCUUAAUCUUGUCAUUUAGAAAAUUCUACAGUUUGAUGUCUUGCAAUGAACCUUCAGUCCUGCAGCUGCAUUAAGAACCAUGUGCUUUGUUGUUUCAUUUUCUUGACAAUGCAUCUAUAGACAGGAGCUUAGCCUUACCAUUUUGAAAACUUUACAGUUUGCUCUCCCAAAUCUGAAUUCAUCUCUCAUGAGUUCAUAAUGAUGACGUGUCUAGAGCUAGUGGUUUGUCUCGCUCUAAAGAAGUAGAGAUGGUGAUGGUCUGUGCAUGCUGUCUCACUGAUAUGCCUUUAUUAAUUUAGUGAAUUUGGUUAGCGUUUGUUUUUUUAGGAAAGCAAUGUUACUGACGAAGUGACGAGUAUCACAUGUAAACUGGAUUUUGAGAUACAUGUUCAGGUAAGUACGGAUAUGGUGUUGUAUUGCUGCCUAAUGAUCUUGGAAGUUUUUGUUUCGUUAUCUGUUGCAUAUUUUUGGCCUCGAGUCCACAAAACGUAUUUGCAUGAUUUUUGUCGAGAAUUUUUACUUUUCUGAGUAAGAUUGGUAAAUUUUUCAUGUCACCCAUAAGGACUAUCCUAUAUGUAUCUGCAUGCAGUACCAUUUAAAGAACUAUAUAGUUUGUUCUCCCGGCUUCGGUCCAAUCUCUAAAGUCCUCUUCCAGAGUAGGUUCGGAUGAUCAGCACAACAUGAGGGCUUGUCCUGAGCUAGGAUUUUCCGCCGAUCAAGAGAUGGUCAGGGAUUGUGCAUGGCUUGAUUAUAAAUCUUAAUUACUUUCUUAACUGAAGUACUGAACUAAUACUACAUGUCAGGUGUUGUUAUUACCGCAGAUUUUUUUUACUUUUCUAGCAAAUUAAUGUUACUGCAGUUAUCUUGCCAUUGUUUUUUGUUGCCAUAUUUUUCCAAUAUAAGAGUAAUGGUACUUGUUGCCUAGAUUAUAAAUGCAAAUUCAUGUUCUUGCAGUAAUAUAAUCUCUACUACUAUUAAAAGAGCAAACGUUUUCUUUCUUACGGACACCCAGUUCAAUGUACACUGGUCAAUUAUGGUCAUUGGAUUAUCUAAGUCAAUGAAAUCUAACAUAUUAGAUUAUUCUAAGAAGAUAUCUUGGGUGCAAUUAGCAAUUAUAAUAGGAAGACGAAUCAUCUGCGGACGAAAAUCAAUUUCCAUGCCCCACUACGGCAACUUCGCUGUACGCAAACCCGGAGACCCCCAAAUCACGGUAAUUCCCCGUCCGCGUGCCCCGCUUCGCUCGAAGAUGCGCCACCCCGCAUCCUUCCUCCCGCCCAAGGAGAAACCCUAACCCUCGCCUGGAAGGAGCAAGAGCGAGAGCGCGAGGGAGAGCAAUGGAUCCUUCCAAGCUGGGCAAACUACGUUCGUACGUGGAGGCUUGCAAGAAGGUCCCGGCCGUCCUCGCCGCCCCCUCACUCACAUUCUCUUCUGCGACUACCUCCAAUCCAUUGCCGCCGUCGGCGCCUAUGCCAAGCCCACUCCCAGGUUCCGAUCCGCUGCCCGUUCCCUUUCUCCGGCCCCGAUCUCCUCCUUCCCUCUUCUUGAUUGUGUCCGACUGCAUAUUUAAUCUCUUGCACCAACAGGCUCCCGUCGGCCAUGUCGCCUCCAUUGCCCGGUCGCCCAUUAGAGCACGGACCCGCCUCGUACCUCCUUACCCGCCGCCAGUUUGCUAGACAGGACGCCCUUCUUCCAUGCUUAAGGUGAGGAAUAUUGAUUCUGAAGGAAAUAUGCCCUAGAGGCAAUAAUAAUGUUAUUAUUUUAUUUCCUUAUAUCAUGAUAAAUGUUUAUUAUUCAUGCUAGAAUUGUAUUAUCCCGAAACAUAAUACUUGUGUGAAUACAUAGACAAACUAAGCGUCCCUAGUAUGCCUCUACUUGACUAGCUCGUUAAUCAAAGAUGGUUAUGUUUCCUAACCAUAGACAUGUGUUGUCAUUUGAUUAACGGGAUCACAUUAUUAGGAGAAUGAUGCGAUUGACAUGACCCAUUCCAUUAGCUUAGCACCCGAUCGUUUAGUAUGUUGCUAUUGCGUUCUUCAUGACUUAUACAUGUUCCUAUGACUAUGAGAUUAUGCAACUCCCGUUUGCCGGAGGAACACUUUGUGUGUUACCAAAUGUCACAACGCUGUGUGAUUAUAAAGGAGCUCCACAGGUGUCUCCAAAGGUAAAUGUUGGGUUGGCGUAUUUCGAGAUUAGGAUUUAUCACUCCGAUUGUCGGAGAGGUAUCUCUGGGCCCUCUCGGUAAUGCACAUCACAUAAGCCUUUUCUAGCAUUGCAACUAAUGAGUUAGUUGCGAGAUGAUGUAUUACUGUUGGGGAUAUUACUACUGGGCAUAAACCGGCCUAUCUGGGCCGGGUUAACGUCAUCAGUAGUUCAAGGGUGUUAAAACCCAAGGAGGAAGAUAAGGGCCCAAGGCCUGUAGUCGGUUUAAGACCUGUAGCCGUAAACCGGCCUGGCAUGUAAACUUGUAUUGUAAGCUAGGAAUAAGGAGAGACCAACCCGGAUACAAGUAUGAACCGGUGUCGGGACUCUGUGGACCGACGGGCAUCACCCGUGUAUAUAAGGGGACGACCCGGCGGCGGUUCAGGGACAACAGACAACACCUCGAGACAUAGGCAAAGCUUGUUUGCUCCCUAGUCAUCGAAACCCCAUCAAUUCCAUCACAACUAGACGUAGGCUUUUAACUUCCUUGAAGGGGCCGAACUAGUAUAAACUCUCUUGCGUCCUUGUGUCCGCUUUAACCCCUUCAAGCUAACCUGUCGCGAUGGUUCCACGACUAAGUCCUUUCUCUAGGACAUCUGCCGUGACAAAACCACGACAGUUGGCGCCCACCGUGGGGCUAUCGCACGAUGGUUUCCGGUUCUUGGAGGUCCGCUUUGAAGGACUCAAGGGCUAUGUUGUAGGCCGGAUGACUAAGAGUCGUCGCGGCAGGCUCUACAUCGACGACGCAGGCUGGGGCCCUGAGGCCGCCUCAGUUGAGUACGGGUACCGGGUCCCCUUUGGUAGCAUUCACGUCUUCAUUGGCAAGAUCGGUGAACCGGGCCCUGAGCCGGACAUCUGCACCGACCUCGUCGAGAUGGCUCAGCGUGCGCAAUCCGCCCGGGUUAAACCGGCCAUGAAGCGUGCCUUCGUGGGAGUCAUCCAUGGAGGAAGUUAUGAGGACGGAUCGGGACUUCACGGGGCAACUGUCAUUUGUUCCGGUGACGAAUCUUCGACCGGAGAAAGCGAAUCUCUUUAUCAGCUACAAGAUGGCCGGAUUGGGAGCUGUUCCGAUGGCGACAGUAUUCCGGGCCCCUCUGAUCUGCCCAACCGGGUUGGAAUAUUCAUGGCCGGAACACAAGCAGCGCUUCAUUCUUCAACAGCUGCGGCAAUGAUUUGCGGUUCAGCAGCAGCGACGGCUGCUGGGGCAGGAGGCCCUGUGCGCCCGUCGGCUCAGGUUCUAUCAAAACUAUUUGAUGCGUUGGCUGUGCUUAUGGCGGUAGUUAAUCCGCCAGAUCAGGACGUUCACAAUAUGGAGAUUGCAAAGGUGAAGGAACAGAUCACCCGGGCCAAGGCGGAUCUGGCAGCUGAGGACACCAGGAUGGCCGCAGAGCGGGCUGCUUUGGACGCACAGGCCUACAGGCUUAUAUUAGACCAGAGCGCAUCACAUGAAGUCAUGAGGAGGAAGCACCGAUCCCGCUUACCUCUGGUUUUCGAGGCCAGAGACCUUUUCAACACUCCAAGGCCAAGAGCCGGCAAUCCGCUGGAGGGGAACCGGGCAGAAGCCCCUGGGACCGGCACACCGGUUCAGCCUCGUCAGAACGACCCGCCUCGUCAGAACACCAUUGUACCUCAGGCUGCUUUAACACCCCCGGGUCAUUACUCCAACCCAAUGGACAAUCUUGUUGCCGCUGCUGAACGGCUGGAGGCCAUUCCAAUUGAAGGUGACUCGCCGCAGGCAGUAGAGACACGGCGGGUCAAGGAACUUCUGAGGACCGCUUUGGCCCAAUAGGAAGCAUACUCGUACAGCCGCGACCGGAUCCACUCGACCCCUUGUCCAAGCCGGAGCUAUAGCAGACAUAUGGAUGAACCGGCAGUGUCGAGUAAUGAACAACGUGGGGCACCUCGGGACAACAACCCGGCGGGUGGUGCUGAUGACGCUCAGGGAGUGGCGGACCGGGCCCGCGCGUGCAGGGAGGCCGAGUUAGCCGCACAACAUCAGGCUCGGCAGCUCACGCCGGUUCAUCCAACCACCUUGACUGAACCUGGUGUUACCUCCAGUUCUUUGGGGGUGCCUUGCCUUAUCCCCGCUUUACGCAACGUGUGCUUGCCCAAGGAUUUCAAAGGCCCGCGCAAGGUGCCAAAUUACACGGCGGAUCAACCUCCAGAGACAUGGUUGGAGAGCUAUGAGAUGGCCAUGGAGAUGCUUGAUGUGGAUGACGCGGCGUGUGCAAAAUACUUCACCAUGAUGCUCGAAGGAACGGCCCGUACUUGGUUAAAAAGCUUGCCGGCUAAUUCUAUCAGUUCAUGGGCCCAAUUACGGGCCCGGUUUAUCAGCAAUUUCAAAGAUACCUGUAAACAGCCUAUGUCGAUAGUGGACUUAGCUGCAUGCGUCCAGGAGGAAGGAGAAUCAACGACUCAUUGGGUGCGCCGGGUUUCACAAGUGUUGCACUCCUCAGACCGCAUCAACGCUGACACCGCAGUAUUAACCCUAGAGGGAAACUGCCGGUUUGGACCCCUGAAGCUGAAGUUGGGACGGAUGAAGCGUCAUUGCACUGACUUGGGGACUCUCAUGGCCGCUUUGGUGAAAUAUGCCGAUUCUAAUAGUACCAAGGAUCCCGAAUCUGAUGAUGACAAGACAGGGAAGGGAAAGAAGAACAACAUCUCCAAAGGUCAGCAGCAUCACUGGGUAGGCAAUGGCGGAGGAGGCAAGCGUAAAGCAGAUGGUAACAUGGACUUUGUGACUAAUACCAAUGCAUAGAACAAUGGCCAGCGACACAAGGGUAGGCCAAGAAAUCGUAGUGGGGCACCCAACCCUAACCCAAACCGCCUAAACUUUCUGCUAAACCAGCCCUGUCCAAAACAUGGGACGAAGGAGGAACCAACAAACCACCUUUGGAAGGAUUGCUUUAUUAUGCAGGAGUUCAAGAAUUCUAAUAAUUUCCGGUAUGAUCAUGAAUCUGGCGAUGGCUCAGGGUCUGGGUCGGGUUACGGUGGAGGAAGUUUCGUUCAGGGUUUAAUGGUAAUCCGGGCGGAAAUAAUGGUCAAAAUAAUCGGAACAGCCAGGGUGGUUACAACCAACAGCAGCAGCAGCAGCAGUCGGGUUACCAGAGCAACCCAAAGCAAUUGAGUGGUGGACAGUACCAUGUCUUUACCACUAGCUUGGACAAGCGAGACCGGAAGGUUCAGAGGCGGGCGGUCAACUCUGUUGAACCAGCCAUACCCCGUUAUCUACGUUGGUCUGAACAGCCGAUCAUAUGGAGCAGAGAGGAUCACCCGCCCCAGGUCGAUAACCUGGGUCAGCUGGCGCUGGUGGUGGCGCCUCAGGUGGGAGGUUAUAAGUUCACCAAGGUGCUCAUGGAUGGAGGGAGCAGUAUUAACAUCCUGUACUAUGAGACAUUCCGUCGUAUGGGACUAACAGAUAAGAAUCUCAAACCGUCUAAUACAGUAUUCCAUGGUGUAGUGCUUGGCAGAUCAGCAUAUCCCGUUGGUAAGAUAGCUCUGGAAGUGGCCUUUGGGGCUGAUCAUGAUUCCAGAUCAGAGACGUUGACGUUUGAGGUGGUGAAAAUCCAAAGUCCAUAUCAUGCCCUGUUUGGGCGACCGGCGUACGCCAAGUUUAUGGCCCGGCCCUGUUAUGUGUAUUUGCAGCUCAAGAUGCCGGGUCACAAGGGGACAAUAACGGUUCAUGGAAGCUGCAAAAUAGCUUUGGAAUGCGAGGAAGGAGAUGCGGCUUAUGCAGAGUCGGUUUGUGCCACCGAGGAGUUGAAGUACUAUAAAGACAAUGUUGAUCCGGCGGACAUGACUCCGUUGAAGAAGCCAACUACAGAGCAUGAUCCGGCCCUAAAGUUCAAAUCGGCAGUAGAGACUAAGCUUGUUGAUUUCGUACCUGGCGAUUCAUCUAAGAAGUUCAGCAUCAGUGCCAACUUGGAUCCAAAAUAGGAAGGCGUGCUCAUCGAGUUCAUCCGUGAGAAUCAGGACAUUUUCGCAUGGAAACCUUCUGACAUGCCAGGUGUACCGAGGGAACUCGCUGAGCACACACUUAAUGUGGAUCCUAAAUUAAUGAGGACAUCAAUACCAUUGUUACACCCACAGCCCCUACUGUUACAUAUACUGGACCAAUUACUAGAGCUCGCGCACGCCAAUUAAAUUACCAGGUACUUUCGUUUCUUGGUAAUGAUUCUAAUGUUCAUGAGAUUAUGAUGCUGCCUAAAUUGGAUACAUUUGUUUUGCUUACAAAUGAAGGGCCUAGCUUGGAGAAGGAUGAACAUUGGAGCAAAAACACGCAUGGAGUUGAUGGCAUGCGCAAGGGGAUCAAGAACGGAGUUACAAGUGAUGAUUUCAGGACUUUGAAGCCGCCAUAAGGAGUGCAUGAAGCCUUGGACGAAAUAUACAAGAUGCCACUUCAUAAUAUUCGUCCAUAGGCUAUUCUAGGUGCUGCGUCACCUUAUUAAUGGGCCAGGCCCAUGUAAUUUCGAAAUACUUAAGUAUAGGCUAUUUUUAGAGUCCGUAUGUGUGGGGAAACAAGAGUUAGGGUUGGUUUCGGACCCCACCCUCAAGGGCCACGAAAUUCCCCCCUCUUCCUCCAUAUAUACAGCCCUUAGGGCGUCGUUUAGACUUUGGGUUUUGUUUAGAUUAAAAGUUCACCAUAGCUGCAACUUCACGUACUUCGUUUGUGUCCAACGACCAGACCAAGACGUCACAGAACCCCACCUUGAUCAAUAAAGCUUUCAUCUUAUAUUCGCAAUAUCCCGAUUGCAAUCUCAGUUUCUUGCUUGUUCUUCGUUUGCUCGCAGGAAACAGACCCUCGUGGUCAGGUUGAUCGUGCUCCGGCGUGGUCAAUAACCCUCGGAAGUUGGUUUAGCGAUUGCUAAGGCGCGACGUCUCGCACGUUCGUAGUCGGAUCGUCAAGGUCGACUCCCACAGAAAACGAUAGCCACCAUCUCAUCGAAAAAUUGGGACACCUUAGCCUCUAUCCUCAUAAUCUCCCACAUAAUCAUCCUCCUCCACAUCAGCAGUAGGAGCCACAGAAGUAUCAACAGCAGCACCAGCAGUUUGGCCCGACUGAAGAGGGACAUGGCUCGCUCGGCGGAGGGCUGUUUCCCGACGUGGAGGUAGUCGAUGUUGUUGCUGUUGUUGCAGAGGUGCGGCAGGAGAAGCCGAUGGUGGUGGUGGAAAACGCGAAAGCAAUUCAGCAAACUUGUUAUCGAGCUUUGUUUCAAACGUCUUCUCCAUGCCAUCUAUCUUCUCCAUGGCCUCUUCAAAUCUGUUUAUCACAUCUUGCACCUGUCCACUCAUCAUUUGCUGAAACGUAUCAUGAAGCUCCUUGUUCGUCAAGUUCUCCCAGUCAGUCUCGUCGGCUUGUGAUCCUGGCAUGGUUAGCAGCAAUAGAAACACACAAGAAUAUGAUCCUACAGACUACUAACAAGUGGUGGUGGUGGCGGGUGUCACAAAUCCGUCAAGCAAAUCUCAAAUUCUUACCAGUUCUUACCCAGCAGCAGGCGGUGAUCGGCAACCGUUGUAGUCAAAACUCUCAAAAGCUUGGAUAGAGCGAUUGCCAGGGAGAGUCAAACGCACGACGUAGAUGUAUGUGGAGCUGGGAAGGCUUAUAGUAUGGUAGCAAAAAGGGUCAGCAAUAAUCAAUUCAGAGAUGCAAAGUUGAAUAAACGCUCAACUACGGUACUGUGCUGGUCCUAGGCUAGACCGUGCUAGAGACGCGAGCCUAGAACACUAACAAAAUCACGGCGCUGCACGUAAAUAAGGGAAAAGCACACUCUGGAACUCUUUUUUUCGCUCUUUUUUUUGCGCUCCUCUUUUUUUUUGCGAAAAAUCACUAUAAUGGCGAGUGUCUCAAAACUCUUCCCUCGUCAAACUGAUAGGAUGGGCACAAUUUUUUUUCAGAAAUCAGGGUAGCGACGACGAAAAAGUGCGACAAAAAAUCACUAUGAUGGCACGUGGCUCAAAAGACUCAGAAAAGCCUAAAAAUAGGAUAGGCAAACAAGAGUUAGGGUUGGUUUCGGACCCCACCCUCAAGGGCCACGAAAUUCCCCCCUCUUCCUCCAUAUAUACAGCCCUUAGGGCGUCAUUUAGACUUUGGGUUUUGUUUAGAUUAAAAGUUCGCCAUAGCUGCAACUUCGCGUACUUCGUUUGUGUCCAACGACCAGACCAAGACGUCACAGAACCCCACCUUGAUCAAUAAAGCUUUCAUCUUAUAUUCGCAAUAUCCUGAUUGCAAUCUCAGUUUCUUGCUUGUUCUUCGUUUGCUCACAGGAAACAGACCCUCGUGGUCAGGUUGAUCGUGCUCCGGCGUGGUCAAUAACCCUCGGAAGUUGGUUUAGCGAUUGCUAAGGCGCGACGUCUCGCACGUUCGUAGUCGGAUCGUCAAGGUCGACUCCCACAGAAAACGAUAGCCGCCAUCUCAUCGAAACGACUCCCAUAGAGGUAGCCAGGCUCUUAGCAGCUAGCUUUAUUAUUGAAGUGUUUCACCCUGAGUGGCUUGCCAAUCCGGUGCUGGUCCUCAAGAAAAACGGCACCUGACGCAUGUGUGUGGAUUACACAGAUCUUAAUAAGGCUUGUCCAGUAGAUCCUUUUGCCCUCCCCCGUAUUGAUCAAAUUAUUGAUGCUACGGCGGGUUGUGAGCGUCUAAGUUUUUUGGAUGUGUAUUCUGGCUAUCAUCAGAUCAAAAUGGCAGUUAAGGACCAGGAGAAGACAGCAUUUAUAACUCCCUUUGGAGCCUUUUGCUAUGUGUCUAUGCCCUUCGGGCUCAAGAGUGCCCAGGCAACUUACCAACGGUGUGUACAAAAUUGUCUUCACAAGAAGAUUGGCCGUAAUGUACAUGCUUACGUGGAUGACAUCGUGGUUAAAUCCAGCGAGAAGGAGACUCUGAUUGAUGAUUUGAAAGAAACCUUUGAUAAUCUGAGAACAUACAAGAUGAUGGUUAAUCCGGAAAAGUGUGUUUUUGGUGUACCAGCAGGCAAGCUAUUGGGUUUUAUAGUGUCCAAAAGGGGAAUUGAGGCUAAUCCAGAGAAGAUCACAGCUAUCACCUCCCUGGCUAAACCGAAGUGUAUCAACGAUGUUCAACGCCUGGCAGGCAGGAUUGCUGCGCUAAGCCGGUUUAUCAGUCGCCUCGGUGAGAAGGCAAUCCCUUUGUAUCAGAUGUUGAAAAAGACGGAUCAGUUUGUCUGGAGUUCUGCUGCUGAUGAAGCGUUUGAGGACUUAAAGCGCCAAUUGGCCAAUCCGCCUGUGCUCGCCGCUCCCGUUGACAAGGAGCCAUUACUGCUAUAUGUUGCUGCUAAUGUUCGGGCGUUCAGUGUAGCUAUUGUGGUGGAGCGAAAGGAGGCAGGUAAGGAGCAUCCGGUUCAACGUCCGAUUUAUUACAUCAGCGAGGUGCUCAUUGAGUCCAAGCAAAGGUAUCCACAUUGGCAGAAGCUGGUGUAUGGAGUCUUUAUGGCAAGCCGGAACCUUAAACAAUAUUUCCAAGGGCACUCAAUUACGGUGGUCAGUUCUGCUCCUUUGGGAGAUAUCAUCCAGAACCGGGAAGCAACUGGCCGGAUUGCAAAGUGGGCCAUAGAGCUGGGGCCGUAUGAUUUGAAGUAUGUGCCUCGGACAGCGAUUAAGUCUCAAGCACUUGUUGAUUUCAUCAAUGAUUGGACAGAAAUGCAAGCACCUGAAGAAAGCCGGAUCAUACAUAUUGGACCAUCCAUUUUGACGGAUCCAGGCAGCUGGAAGGCUCGGGGGCUGGAGUCGUAUUAACUUCCCCAUGAGGUGAUAAGUUUUGUUAUGUUCUCCAUUUAAUGUUCCCUUGUACUAACAAUGCAGCUGAGUAUGAAGCCUUGCUCCAUGGUCUCCGGAUGGCUAAGGAGAUGAAUCUAAGUCGAGUUAAGUGCUUCGGUGACUCAGACCUUGUGGCCCAGCAACUGUCUGGCACUUGGGACUCCAAGGACCCACUCAUGGCAGCAUAUCGUCGUGAGGUGGAUACUGUCGCAGGUUAUUUCAAAGGUUAUCAGGUGGAUCACGUGGACCGGCGGAAAAAUUAAGCGGCAGACGCUUUAAGCCGGCUGGGCUCUCAGCGCAAACCGGUCCCACCCAAUGUUUUUUUGGAUGUGCUGCACAACCCGUCGGUCAAGAUCCCUGGUGAAGAGGAUUUGGCUAUUCCUGAUCCGGAGGCUCGAUUGGUGGUGGCUCUUCAUGUUAUUCCGGAUUGGACGCUUCCCUACCUGGCGUACAAGAACCGGGGUGAGUUGCCAGAGGAUGAAAUUCUAGCAAGGCAGAUAAUCCGGCGAUCCAAGUCCAUGACUAUCAUCAACGGCGAGUUGCAUCAUUGCAGUAUAUCAGGGGCUUUCUAACGCUGUGUGUCUCCUGAAGAAGGCCGUGAAAUCUUGCGUGAGAUCCACGAAGGAGAUUGUGGUCACCACGCCGGUUCAAAGUCUCUGGUGGCUAAAGCGUUUCGCCAUGGUUUUUAUUGGUUAACUGCUCAUGCUGAUGCGGAGGAUCUGGUCAGAUGGUGUGAUGGUUGCCAAAGGUUUUCAAGGCGUGCUCAUGUACCGGCUCAAGAAUUGAGAAUGAUUCUGAUUACUUGGCCGUUUGUGACUUGGGGGCUGGAUAGGGUUGGGCCUUUCAAAAGGUCCAAAGAUAAGAAGACCCACCUCCUGGUGGCGGUUGACAAGUUUACAAAGUGGGUGGAGGCAGAACCUGUUAGCAAGUGUGAUGCGGCCACGGCGGUUCAGUUCAUCAAAAAGGUGAUUUUCCGGUUUGGCUUUCCGCACAGUAUUAUCACAGAUAAUGGUACCAAUUUAUCCAAAGGUGCUAUGAAGGAGUUCUGCGAACGAGAGCACAUCCGGCUCGACGUUUCAUCAGUGGCACAUCCACAGUCUAAUGGUCAAGUAGAAAGAGCUAAUCAAGAGAUAUUGAGAGGCAUCAAGCCCCGGCUCAUGGUUCCUUUGCAGAGAACGCCGGGUUGUUGGGUAGAAGAAUUACCAUCUGUGCUAUGGAGUAUCAAUACAACACCCAACAGAUCAAUAGGAUACACACUAUUCUUCAUGGUUUAUGGAGCAGAGGCGGUUCUCCCUAGUGAUAUCUGGCAUGAUUCACCUCGUGUCACAGCUUAUAUUGAAGCGGACAACGAGACAGCACGGCAAGACGCUUUGGACCGGUUGGAUGGAGAGCGUGACAUCGCAGCCGCCCGAUCGGUGAUUUACGAGCAGGAUCUUCGUUGUUAUCAUAGUCGUCGGGUCAGAACCAGAACCUUUCAGGAAGGAGAUUUGGUGCUUCGGCUCAUCCAAGAUCAGGCUAACAUGCAUAAGCUAUCCCCACCUUGGGAGGGGCCUUUCGUGGUCAGCAAGAAUCUGCACAACGGGUCGUACUAUCUGAUCGAUAUUCGAGAGCAUAAGGACUCACGUACAUCAGAGGAGGAGACUAACAGGUCGUGGAAUAUAGCUCAUCUUCGACCUUACUACACCUGAGCCAUUGGCUAUACUUAUGUACAUAUUACGACAAUGUAUAUAUUAUGAUUAAAUAUAAUAAACCGGAACCUCAGCUAAAGCAGGGUAUCUGUUCUUUUACAUCAUGUGAGGUUACACGGAGUUGCUCUAAAGCGGCCUCCGGUUUACCCCUUGAGUUCGCUUUGCUAAAAGCAUCGUGUUAUAUCACUUGGAGGAUUGGUCGUGUCCGAACCAAUACCAUGCCUCUUGAUAGGCGAAAGCCACUAGAUCACUUGGGGACUUGGUCAUGUCUGAACCAGUCAUGCCUCUUGGUCGGCCUAAGGCCACAGAAUCACUUGGGGGCUUGGUCGAACCCGAACCAUGACCACGCCAUUUGGUCGGCAUAAAUGCCACGAUUUCAUCUGGGGACCUGGCUGACUAGAACCAUAGUUACACCUAACGGGAACUUGGUCAUGUUUAGCCAUGGUAACGCAAUUUGAUCAGUUUAAAUAAAACUUUUUCUUUUUGCUUCACACUUUUCUUUGAAGGGGUUUUUUUGCUUUUCAUUGUGUUUCUUAAACCGACAAAAAAAUUUCAAUUGACGGAACACAGUUCACGUCAAUCCGGAGACUAUCUGACCGGUUUGAUCCAUGUUGUUAACAUCCUCUUAUGGAGUAACACGGUACGGUUUACAAUGGUAAACCAGCAUCAUAUAUAUAUAUGCAGGAGCUGUCAUCUCCUCCAAAUAGUGUGGGUUUACAAAACUCCGCUUCAAGAUUGGCUAAGCCAACUUCACGAUCAAUGACGGCAGGUAUUAUGUAUCUCAAAAAUUUGGUCAUAUACUUAAAAUUUUGUUUGAUUUCAUAUAUGCAGACAUCAUAUUCCGCCUGACGGUACAACCACGGUGGCACUUGAUGAAUUUUUCAUUUCAGAAAGUAUUUGGAAAGUUCAUGACCACAGGAAGAGCAAAUUAUGCACGAAGGCAUAUCAACAUCAAAGGUAUCAGCUAGCCUAUUACAAGGCAACAUGGUGCCCAUAAAUAAUGUAAUUGUUUUUCGCGAAGAAGAGGCAGUUUUUAAACCAGCUUCCGGUUCAAGCUUGGUCACCAGCCUGGCCUGAUGGUUGUGGGUCAUCCUGCGCCGCUUCAGCCUCCGUGUCCCUACCCAGUGGAUGGGAAUCCACAGUUGUCCCAUUAAUGCUUGAAAAACAGCUUCAUCGUCGAUCAGCAAGGACGGGUUAAUAUCGGGAGCGUAAGUAUGCUUAUGGAUUGGAGGAAUCAGAUUUUCCGAUUCAUGGAUUGGCGAAGCUAUUCGCUUGUUCUGACUGUCGUAUUGCGCUUGAUAACGAGACAAGUCUGCUUCCUCAGCCAACUGACAAGCUAGUGGACGUGCCUCCCGGUUUAUCGCUCGUAGAUCCGCUUCACCAAAUUCUGAUCCGUCUUCCUUCAAGCUGGGAUAGCCCUAAGCCGCUUCAACAGGAUCAAAAUCCGGCACCCAGGCUUUUGCCCGGAUUAAAGCAUUGAUUGCGCCGGUUCGAGCAGCAGAUUUUUUUAGCUCUUCAAUCUGGGAAGGAAGCACCGACAGUUUCAUCAGAGUAUCUUGAAUCAAAGUAGGCACCGGUUUGUUAUGAGAGGCGGUACAGAUGAUCCGCUGGGCACUAGUAUACAGUUGUUCAACCAAUGUAUAGGCGGAUUUUAGCUUCUUCCGUACAUCUGACCCCAAGUGACCAAUGCGUGUCCCUGAAAUACCAUAAAGGGUUAAUAAACCGGCGACUUUGUCAGAAGGCAGAGCCAAUUCAGUAGGAAAACUGGCUUACCAAAGAUAGCAGCAGUCAUAGCAUGCACGUGGCGCUUUAUGCUGGUCAGUUCAUCUGCCACUGGUUUUAGUGCAGCCUCAGCAUCCUCUGCUCGUUUGAUCAAAGCGGAUUUCUCAGUGGCCCAGUCCGCCUGUUUCUUCUUGAAGUUGUCCUUAAGUUGUUCCAUGGCGCUUAAAGCACUGGCCAAUUCCUCUUUUGCUUUGGAGGUUUCAGCUUGUUGGGUUUUCAGGGCUUCUUGAAGAUCGAUGACUUGGUUCUCUUUCCUCUUCAGCUCCGCCUGCAUGCAUACAGGUAUAUGUUUCAACAAAUUGGUAGAAGGAUUCAAGUACCAACCACAUAACAAGUUAUGCGCUUAGUACUUGGUGGCUAAUGCAUAUUUGAUCUAAAGCGGCCUCCGGUUUACUCCUUCAUCUUUCGAUUGUUUACAAAGUCCCAAGAUCAAUACAAGUAUUCAACUUGGCACUUGGGGGCUAAUGGCUAUUUGAUCUUCAUGUUUCAAUUAUUUACAAAGUCCCAAGAUCAAUACAAGUAUUCAACUUGGCACUUGGGGGCUAAUGGCUAUUUGAUCAUAUAUAUUCUGAUAAGGCAGUCUCAGUUACUUAAAGUACCGGUUUAACUACGCUAAAGUUGAACCGGCCCUUGGGGGCUACAUCAGCAAAAUUCAAAGCAACAAGAUUGAUAUUAUUUAAGUCUCGGUUUGAAAGAAUAUUCUAAACCGACCCUUGGGGGCCAGGAGAGUCAGGAAUGGAAGCAUACAAGCAGGAAGGAGCAUAUGGAAAUUACCUCAUAUUUGUCUUUCAUCAUAUUAACCAGACCGGCUUCAUAGUCACGACUGGUAUACAGCCGGUUCAGAUAGCCGGAAUGGAUAUCUUGGGCGUUCAGAGCAGAGUAAGUCGUCAGAUCAGCGUUCCACUUGCCUUUACCAAAGGCAGCAAGUUCUUCCUUGGCAGAAUGCUUGGAUAAAGCGACAUGAUUGUUUGGCUCAGUAUGGCCAGUACCAGUAAUGACAACCUCAUCAUCUUUGGUACCGCCGGGUUGCAUUGGAGUUGUUGGCUUGUCAGUAGGCUUUGCUGGACCGGUGGAGCUUUCAAUCCGGAUGGAACCUGUAGGCUGAUGGGUAGGACCUGAGGUGUCAGUAGGUCUAUCUUCUGCAAUAAGAUCGUCAUCUUGCUGCGGUGGAUCGUUGGGAAUAUCCUCAGGAAUAGCCGCUUCAACAUUGGGUGUCUUGUCCGCUUCAAGAAUGAUGUCGUCUUCGGCCGCUUUGUCCAGGCGGGCCUUCUUGCUUGGCCUAGGUUUGGCCCUAAGAAGAAUAACAAAAUCAAAUACAGAAUAUGUUCUAAGGCAAUGUACUGCAAACGUCACAAUAAGUAUAGCUUACCAAGCACCAUUUUGAGCGGUGGGAGCUGAGUAGCCGAUGAUUCGCCAGAAGAUGAGUGGGAGGUAACCUGAUAAUCGGAGUCAGACGGAUUAAGAGGUUGACGAAAGCAGCCUGCUUUAGGACAAGCACUGUCAAACAGAUUAGAGACCUCGGAAUGGCGUUUCCGAACCGGACUGUUCGGUAAACCGGCGGAGGUAACUACUUGGCCGCUGUGCCGGGUGGUGCGGCGAGCUUCAUUUUGUUGGGUCUUCAUAAGAAGUUUAGGAUCCAAAUAAGCAAGAGGAUGAGAAAAUUUAACUUUCCGGUUUGCCUGACGGAUUUUUUGUGAAGGCAAAGUUUCUGAAUCGGAAGAGAGAAUAGUUACCUCUGCGACAUCCGCGUGGCUGGCUUCGGCAUCAUCAUGACAAAUAUCAUCAUCAAUAAGACAGAUGAAAAAUAAACCAAGUGAGUCAAGCUCUACCUCAAAGUCCGGAUUAUCCACCUCAUUGUCAGGGGCCGGAUUAGAAGAUGAAGUGGUUCUUUUCUUAUGGGCAGUCUUCUUUACAGCUUUAGUUUUCUGCCGGGUUGCUCUUUUCGGUUUGUCUGGUUUCUCUGGUUUCUCCUGCGGCAGUUUUUUGCUCCAAAACGGAUCAUCGCCCUGAUCAUGCAGACACUGAUAUUAAAAACAAUGACUAGACAUAUCAAUAACAGAUUCAGCAAAGAGAAAAAUCAAAGUCUUACAGCUGGCGGCUUGUUGGUGGCACAGAAGGGAAGUAGGCCGGUUCUGGCACAGAUGUGUUCCGGUUCAUUCAGUAUCUUACGUACAACCUCUGUGAUUUCUUCACCGGAGAGCUGGAGUCUUGAGUGUCGCAGUGGGUCAUCAACACGAUCAGUAUAUUGGCACAUCAAACCGGAGCGCAGGCUAAGAGGCAGUAUGCUCCAUAAUAUCCAACAGCGAGCAAGGUCAACCCCUGUUAAGCCGUUGGCCAUAAAAGAUCUGAGCUUUGAUAGCUGAGGAGCAUAUUUACUUCUCUCCUGUGCAGUCAAUCUUUGUGGAGAAGGGUGUGUGUUGCUAAGCCGCUCCGAUCGAAAGCCAGGCAAGGGAUUCUCACCAGCAGGGGAGGUGUCCUUGCAGUAGAACCAUGUUUGAUUCCAUUCUUUAGGGUGGCUAUGCAGUUUGGCGUGAGGGUAUGUGACCUCUUUCCUUUUCUGAAUCGCCACACCACCCAACUCCGUAUUGGAGCCGUCAGUAAAUUCAGUACGACGGUUUAGAUGGAAUAGGUCUCUGAACAGUUCCACUGCGGGCUCCUCUUAAAAGAACGCUUCACAGAGUACUUGGAAGUGACACAUAUUUGUAACAGAGUUGGGGUCGGUAUCUUGUGGAUGGAGCUGGAAAUCGGCUAAGACAUCCCGAUAAAAUUUAGAACCGGGCGGCUUAAAGCCCCGGGCUAAGUGAUCUACGAAAACAACAACCUCUCCUUCUCGAGGUGUAGGAGGGCAUUCUUUGCUAGGAGCCCUCCAAUGGAUUGUAUCCUUGCUGCCUAAAGCACCAAUCAGGACUAAAUCAUCCAGUUCAGCCUCGGUGACGCGAGAAGGAACCCAAUUGCACUCAUACACUUGCUUGGCCAUGACGGAAUCUACAAGGUAAAAGACCCUGGUUCAAAAAUGCAUUGAUUAAAAUGCACUGGUAUGUACAAUGUUAAACCGGAAACAGCCCUAUCUAAACCGGAGUUUCAUGAAGCAACCUACAUCUGGCGGUUCAACAAGGGGACUAAUGGCAUAUACUGGUUUGGAAAAUUUUCUAUAAGGUUAAACCGCCUGACCUAAACAUUGAAGCAAUUGAGAUUGCAGAUGGUUAAGUAUGCAGAAACAGGUUUCACAUGAUCUUGUUACAGCAUUGGAUCUGAAGAAAGUUCAGAAAAUAAGAAAAAUAGUCGAAGAUUUAAAAGCAGAGCGGAAGUGAAUCAAUGGGCAGAUAUAUAGAUGAGAUCUAUGGACUUGAGCAGGAAACUACAGGCGGAUGCUAAAAGCUACUGCUACUCAGAGCAGGGUUCCACAGAUCUAUCCAGGAGUCUGGGUACGAGCAUGAACAAGUGAUGAACACGCCAAGAACACGAAACCCUAGAACAGAUCCAUGUUAGGAAGAACAGAAGGCUUACCAGAAUCAAGGAAGAUGCGGAAAGCUACCGCAGUGCUCUGGUGCGUUCAGGUUGAUGCAGCGGCCCGAGAAGAUGCAGAGGUUAACGGCGGCGGCGGAGCUCCGAGGCUAGCGACGCGAGGAGGAUGAAAAGAAAGGGGACGAAGGGGAGAAAGGAAAUGACCCUUCGGUCCUAUUUAUAAGGCAACAGACAUGUGUCAGGCGCGUGAAUCAAGGAACCACAAAUCUUGGAAGCAGAGCUGUCGCCUCGGUCAUUGCGAAUCUAUUAAAUAAGAAGAUAUCAUGGAUGUUUUUCUUUAUGACAGAUGACGUCACGCCGGUUUACAGCAACCAGAGAAGAUGACGUCACGGCGGUUCAACAACUACAAGAAGAUGUUGAAGACGAAUAUUUUUUGCUAAGAAUUGACAUGAACCAGUUCAAAUCAAUCUGGGGCCUAAUGUUGGGGAUAUUACUACUGGGCAUAAACCGGCCUAUCUGGGCCGGGUUAACGUCAUCAGUAGUUCAAGGGUGUUAAAACCCAAGGAGGAAGAUAAGGGCCCAAGGCCUGUAGUCCGUUUAAGACCUGUAGCCGUAAACUGGCCUGGCAUGUAAACUUGUAUUGUAAGCUAGGAAUAAGGAGAGACCAACCCGGAUACAAGUAUGAACCGGUGUUGGGACCCUGUGGACCGACGGGCAUCACCCGUUUAUAUAAGCGGACGACCCGGUGGCGGUUCAGGGACAACAGACAACAACUCGAGACAUAGGCGAAGCUUGUUUGCUCCCUAGUCAUCGAAACCCCAUCAAUUCCAUCACAACUAGACGUAGGCUUUUACCUUCCUUGAAGGGGCCGAACUAGUAUAAACUCUCUUGCGUCCUUGUGUCCGCUUUAACCCCUUCAAGCUAACCCGUCGCGAUGGCUCCACGACUAAGUCCUUUCUCUAGGACAUCUGCCGUGACAAAACCACGACAAUUACGAAACGAGUAAAGAGACUUGCCGGUAACGAGAUUGAACUAGGUAUUGAGAUACCGACGAUCGAAUCUCGGGCAAGUAACAUACCGAUGACAAAGGGAACAACGUAUGUUGUUAUGCGGUCUGACCGAUAAAGAUCUUCGUAGAAUAUGUGGGAGCCAAUAUGAGCAUCCAGGUUCCGCUAUUGGUUAUUGAUCGGAGACAUGUCUCGGUCAUGUCUACAUUGUUCUUGAACCCGUAGGGUCCGCAAGCUUAAGGUUUCAAUGACAGUUAUAUUAUGAGUUUAUGAGUUUUUAUGUACCGAAGUUAGUUCGGAGUCCCGGAUAUGAUCACGGACAUAACGAGGAGUCUCGAAAUGGUCGAGACAUAAAGAUUGAUAUAUUGGACGGCUAUAUUCGGACACCGGAAGUGUUCCGGGUGAUUUCGGAGAAAACCGGAGUACCAAAGGGUUACCNNNNNNNNNNNNNNNNNNNNNNNNNNNNNNNNNNNNNNNNNNNNNNNNNNNNNNNNNNNNNNNNNNNNNNNNNNNNNNNNNNNNNNNNNNNNNNNNNNNNNNNNNNNNNNNNNNNNNNNNNNNNNNNNNNNNNNNNNNNNNNNNNNNNNNNNNNNNNNNNNNNNNNNNNNNNNNNNNNNNNNNNNNNNNNNNNNNNNNNNNNNNNNNNNNNNNNNNNNNNNNNNNNNNNNNNNNNNNNNNNNNNNNNNNNNNNNNNNNNNNNNNNNNNNNNNNNNNNNNNNNNNNNNNNNNNNNNNNNNNNNNNNNNNNNNNNNNNNNNNNNNNNNNNNNNNNNNNNNNNNNNNNNNNNNNNNNNNNNNNNNNNNNNNNNNNNNNNNNNNNNNNNNNNNNNNNNNNNNNNNNNNNNNNNNNNNNCCUUAUGGGCCUUAGUGGAGAGAGAGAAGGGCAGCCAGGGUGGGACGCGCGCCCCCUCCCCCCUGGUCCUAAUUGGACUAGGAGAGGGGGGGCGGCGCCCCCCUUUCCUUCUCCGUCCCCACUUCCUUCCCCCUCCUAGUAGGAGUCCUACUCCUACUAGGAGGAGUCCUACUCCUACUAGGAGGAGGACUCCUCCUUGGCGCGCCUAUAGGGCCGGCUGGCCUCCUCCCCUUGCUCCUUUAUAUACGGGGGCAGGGUGCACCCCUAGACACACAAAGUUGAUCCACGUGAUCAUUUUCUUUGCCGUGUGCGGUGCCCCCUUCCACCAUAAUCCUCGAUAACAUUGUAGCGGUGCUUAGGCGAAGCCCUGCAACGGUAGAACAUCAAGAUCGUCACCACGCCGUCGUGCUGACGGAACUCUACCCCGACACUUUGCUGGAUCGGAGUCCGGGGAUCGUCAUCGAGCUGAACGUGUGCUAAAACUCGGAGGUGCCGUAGUUUCGGUGCUUGAUCGGUCGGGCCAUGAAGCCGUACGACUACAUCAACCGCGUUGUGCUAACGCGUCCGCUGUCGGUCUACAAGGGUACGUAGAUCACACUCUCCCCUCUCGUUGCUAUGCAUCACCAUGAUCUUGCGUGUGCGUAGGAAUUUUUUUGAAAUUACUACGUUCCCCAACAGAUUCCUCCUCUUCCGAAUUCAUUUUUUAAUGUUGAUGAAUUAUCCCUUUUAAUUUUUUGGUUAUGGUACUCUUUCACUGCUUGUGAUGGAUUUGAUCGUGAUUUUGGCAUGGAUGGAUAUGAGAUCUCUCCUUCUGCUCCUUCCAAUAUGUCAAAUUGAUUUUCUGUAGCUGAGUUGAUCUUCUCAUCUGGCGGGCUCAAGCUCCUCGUGGUCAUUCGAGCUGACCCCCUCGCCUUGAUAGGUGAGAUUGAUACUGAAAUUGCCAUGCUUAUUUUUGUUUUUACCUCACUGAAGACAUAAGGAGGUUUAACCAAAGAAGUCUCCGAGUUGGUUCUCGGGAGUAAUUAGCACUUACAAAUAUGUAUCUCUAAUUGAGUGCCACCGAAUAUUUUUCCUGGUACUAACCUAAUGAUCAUAUAUGGUCUUGUUUUAGGAUCCCCCAGCAGAUGAACCAGAGGUACUUGCAGGAAUUCCUCUCAUAUUUGGACUGUGCUAAGCUAUUCAAAUUUGACUUUCAGGAUUACAUUCAUCAUUUUGGAUGUACCGCGCCUGGUGAUAAAGGAAAAGGAACUGUAUUGUUAUUCUUCAUGCCCAAACAAUUAGAGUUUCUCAUCUCCUUGAGGGUAAUCAAUUCUGCGCCGAGAUAAUAUGGCCUUUCUUUCCCUCUAAAAUUAGCGAAAAUCACAUAUUUAGUGUGUCUGCAGGCAGCCAACAUUCAUCUCACAGAGCACGAGUUUAAUAACAAGAAUGUGCCAAAUCUGCAAGCACAUUUUGUAAGUGCAUCUUUUACAAUAUAGUGAAGUGUUCCAAUCCAGUAUUUAUUUCUUUCCUUUUUAGUUGGUAAUCCACCUUUUACAUCCUUUACAAUAUGUUGACAAGUUACAACUGAAUUUAUUGAGCAGGAGAAAAUCGUUGGCGAUAGCGACUUCCUACAUCAGUCGGCUCAACCAGCCUAUACAUUCUACAUUCCACCAUGCGACUCACACGCCAUGAAAGACAUCUUUAGUGUUCAUGGUCUCAAUUUGAAGGUAAAAUGCUUCUUUAAGGUUUUUGUGGGAUCUCUGUAUUUUUUUUAUGUUUUGCUGGUUUACAAGUCACAGUUAUUUUGGAUAGCAUGUAGAAGCAACCUUGUCUUUUUGUUAAUAUUUCGGUGAGCAUCUCCCAGAAUUACUUGGCCUAUUGUAUUUUCAUCACCGCAAAUAUUUUUGUUUCAUGAAAAGGUUCUCCUGUUUAUCUUGUGUAAACUAACUUCACAUAACAAAUUUGUUUUUAAUGUCCAAUUCACUAUGAUUUGCCAGGACGUAGGUGCAUCAUUUUACUUUAGCAACCCUCCAAAAGUGGAAAUUGGCCUGGAGUGCAGAGUUAUAUGAGGAAAAUGUGUUAUAACAGAAUUGCUGGUUCUAGACAGAGGCGAAAGAGGCAUUGCAUCACUGCUGCAAAUCCUUAAUUAUAACAGGUAGUUUGCUAGAUUAGAGAGAGCCAGAUUCCUUCGGUUGUUUGUUAUGACACAAAUACAAAAGCUGAAAUGAUUUAAUAUAUGGACCAAAUCAAGGACAUAGUUCAGCGGAUGGGAUAAAGCCAUAGAAAGUUACAUAUACAAGUAAUUGUUUCCAAUCUUUUUACGAGCAUUAACCUGAGUUAAUAUGGAAAGUGCUCGCCUAUGUGAUUACCAUCUUUUUUCCUCAUCUCCUUUCUUUAACAUGUUACAAUUGUAAAUUUGAAAGGAAAUUGAUCUUUUUAACUCUUCUUCGAGAACAGGUGGCCUUGAAUUUGGUAAACCUUGCAUGCGUGUCCCUAUUUAUUUUGAAAUUUUGGGCAAACUCUGUAUGGUUUUCUGUUGGACAACAUCGACGAGAAGGCAAGAUGCUAAAGUAUUUAAGGUUUGCGCAUUACCUCCUUUUGAUUUAGGUGGAAAUUAGUCCAUGGACCAAUUCUUUCUUUUGAUGUUUUAUUUUUGUUUUUCUAUUGUACCCUAGGAACUAGCAUAUUUUUUUACAGGAUUGAUCGAUUUGUUGAUUUAUUUGUUUUAUUUUGUUCCUGUAGUUGUAGUCUAAAGUGUAUAACUAGAAUGCUUCAUUUAAUUACAAGGUCAAUUCUAAAAAAAAGUAAUUACAAGGUCAAAGUUUACACGUGCAGACAAAACACUGAAUCUAUACUAGCCUACUUGUACACCCAGCCUAAAUUUCCUGGUAUAUUUGCAUAUGUUUCUUGCUUUCUUAGUGCUUUACAUCAUUGAAUGUUAUAUCAGUUUUCUUCUCUUGUUUCUCUCUACAAUAUAGUGUAUGAAGGUGAUAAGCUGGUAGAUGGCUGGAAUACCCUUUGACUUGGUUCUAAAUCUUAGAUGACCGCUGGUCAAUAUUUAUAUGGUUUAACAUCCCAAUGAGUCUUGUUCUCAUCUAGAUUGUUGUAUUCUCUGAUAAUGAGUUGAUCCAAGAAUUAACAUGAUAUUUUAUCUUCGUAUAGGAGAAGAGAAAUUCAAAAAAAAAAAUGGUUAAUGAAGAGGAAUCCAGUGCCAUGUCAUGUGGAUCUCAAGAGCUAAAAUGAAAUAUGUGUCAGCCUCUCAUGCCUAGACUAAUUAUCCUGAUGGUCCAGUCCAUUUGGAAAAUCCUCAUUGGCAUCAUGGUUAUGAAUAUGCUUGGUGGAAAUUAUGAUGUUAUAUUAAAAUUUUGCUUUAAUAAAAGGUGGUCGGGUGUGAGAACAUGCAUGUAUAGCUCAGGCUCCACGUUGUUUCCUGAUUAACAAAGUUAUGAUUUUUCACUACCGAACAACAACCUAUCUAAGAAAGUAAUCCUACGUUUGGUUAGAAUAUUUUUGUGAAAGAUGUAAUAUGUGUUAGUCUUGAGGUGCGUUGUACGUGCACGCUUACUAGUUAUAUUAACUCUUCUCAUGUCAGCGGAGCUUAAACCAUCUUUUAGUGCUUAGUUGUGUUUGAGAAGGAAAUUGUUUGCUGGCAUCUUUUUGGAGACGUGAACUUCUAGUUGUCUAUAGUCCUUGUACGUGUAUAUAUAUACAUAUCAUUUAACCGUGGCCAGUGAUGUGCAGUUCAGAACGCAAGAAAAUGAACUAUGGUCUGAAGUUCUUUGGAAAUCCACCAUGAUGAUGUUUUUUGUGUUGUGUUUGCGUAUCAUUGCACUAAUCUACUUUUUUUCAACCAAGGGGCUGUAAGCAAUAGAUGGUCUGGUUUGCCAGUUAACAAGUUCUUAUUAGGUAAUUGUGCUUGUGUACCACGAUGAGAAAUGGGUCAAGUAAUUUUAGUGUCUUUUCCUUUUGGAUGAAGAAUCUUUGCUCCAUGAAGUGUAUGUGUAUACAUCAUGGUUGCUUCAGAUUUUGAGUUUGAGCUAAGUUCCUUGCUACUUUUGAUUUUGAGUUUCGGCCCAAUGGCUGGCCUUUCUGCUUGGGCUGGCGAGAGAAGCUGUGGUCAGGCCCAUGACAGGUCCAGCUGAACAAGUCUCGCAGCAAUCAGCUGGAAUUGCCAAAAAAAAAAAAUUCAGCCAGACGAAGGAAGAGGGAUGAGGUCCGCUUGGUAUCCUCGAAAUAGCCGUCGUCCUGAUCGUCCUGGUAUCCUUGGAAGAUAGGAUUUUUAGGACCCGAGUGUCUAGACACCCUCUUAUCAGCACCGUGCGUUCAGAAAUGGUUUCCUCGAGAUUUGUACCGUGUCCUCAAGCAGGAAUCUGAUUAGCAGGGCUAAGCGGCGCGAGGCUCGUAACAUUUGAAGCAAAUAUGACCUAGCCUAGCACUGUUCCUUCUGAAAAGAAUCUUAGCUAGCUGCAGUUUAUAGGCUAGAUGUGACAAUACAACUUUACCAGAUACGUAGCAAACUUGGAAUAAGAAAAAGCGUGGGCUGAGGACCUGCAUGAAAUCUUACUCAGACAACAAUAAUUUUUAAUUUGCAGCUGGACACUUGUCGGAGGACGGAAUACAUGAUUCUUUUUCAUUGUAUAAUAAUGAAAGAUAGCUCAAAAUGCAUCUCGUACCACUGCUACUGGAGGCUAUCAUGUCUGACUGUGUACCUGUCUCACUUGUUCAUGGCUCAACUUUAGCACAGUACACUACCUGUGCGGCCGAUCAUUGACAAUCUGCAUGACUAAACGUUUCAAACCAGGAACUAUGGGGCGCAUCUAGAUCAAGCAAAACAUGUACCUGAUACAUACAAUGUACGUUGACCCUCCGUAAGCUUGACUGUACCAGGUACAAACAGUGGACCCGUGCAUACAUGUAGCAGGUUCCCCAUUCACACCCAACGCUGAUGAAGCAAGAAGGUAAAAAUCUUGAUAUAAAACUGCCACUGAUGUGAAACCCCGACACCCAGCAUGCACCUGUCUAUGUGAUGUCUCUUCAACUACACCCGGCCUGACCUGCUGCCCGGGCUACCAUCCUGCUGUCCGUGACAACCUACCAUGCCUACUCAGUCUGCUGCAGCCUAGGACCGGCCCCUGCUUUACUCUGCAAAUUCAAUGCUUAAUUCACAUGACAACGCAAGUGGCCUGGUGCUGUAUAGGCCUGGGCACGAAUCUUUAAAGCACUGAACGCACCGGAUAAGGGGGUGUCGGGACACUUGGGUGCUAUGGCAUCUUUUCGAUCCUUGGAAUACUGCAUGGAGCUGUUAAUGCAUUUCUUCAAGUUUUAUAGCACUCGCAUCGACAAUGUUGAGUAUGCUGAAGGGCAGGGUGCGACGUGGAUGGAUCUGCUGAACGCAAGCUCGCUUGGGCAGUUAUAGAAAAUCUAGGAACUAUGUUUUGAAGCUUCAAAAUUUUCUAUUAAAAAAUAGCACUCACGUACAUAGGGUAGUAUAGCAUUUAUGUUCAACUUGUCAUGAUAAAAUUUGCUAAUUUGUGUUUUUACAAAAUUUAUAUACAUAAUUUCUAUCGAGAAUUUUGACUUUUGUAAGUUUGGUAAUUUUCUCUCGUCAUCUGCAAAGUUUGCUCACCCAGCUUGGGUCCAAUAUCUGAAAUCCUUUCCCAGAGAAGGUUCAGAUGUUCGGCAGAGUAUGAGGGCUUAUCCUGAACUAUGAUUUUGUGCCGCUCAAAAGACAGGAUAGCUGCUUGUGCAUGGCUAACUAACCUUGUGAACUGAACUAGGAUUAUAAAUUGUAACUAACCUUGUAAAGUGAACUAGUACUGCAUGUUAGGUAUUGUUGUUACUGCAGCAAAUUUUUACAUUUUGCAGUACUUACUGGUGUAGGAGAAAACUUACUUGGCAUUGGUCGGCAGGGAAGGUGCGUGCUUGAGGAGCCAAUUGGGGGGGGAGGGGCGUUGUAGCGGCUACUUGGCGACCCGAGUUACCGGCUGCCAUGAGCGGUGCUCUUCCGAUGUGGGCUUGUCAUCGGGCAGGAGUUUCACAUGGUCCUCCUGCCCGGGACGGGCUGCUGCUCAUGUAAGUCCUUGCGCAUGGUCACCCUGGAGUCGGGGUGCUCGUUUCUGGGUCCCAUCCAUCAAGCCAAGGUAGGUGUUUGUGGUUCGGUGGGGAGGCAUCCUCACACUAUGGCGUCGGUGAAGGUCGGUGGUAGUGGUGGGUGGGGCUUCGUGGAGCCGGCCGCAGGUGGAUCGGUGCCUCUGGCCGUGGACUUGGUGUCGUUUGAGUUGUUGGCUCCGCGACUGCAAUCGGCAGUUACUAGGUCAUGUUAAUCCGGUUCACCGGGAUUUGUGGGGACUGUAGGCGUGGACGCCUCUAUGGUGGUGGCGCUGACCCUUGCUUUGUGGCUGAUGCUGGGCUUUUCCUGUCGCGGUUAGUGCACCAUGAAGCACGCGCUUGGCGAUGUCUCGGGGUUUGGAUGCCGGGGCGACGACCCUGGAUGGCGGUUCACAUGGUUUGCUCUCUGGCGGGCACCAUGGCGGUGGUGGUGGCUAUGUCUCUUGGUUGUGUGGGCGGCGAGAGCUAUGGCGGCGGGUGACUCGGGCGUGCUCUAUCGUCUCUCGCAGUGAUGGCCCUCCGAUCCGGACCUAGGGAUCUGAUCUCGUCAAUCUUAUCCACAAGACCUCAUGGUGGCACGCGUGGGUUGCCAAGUGAAAGCUCUGCGCUUUGGUGCCAACGACGGCAGCGCUUGCGGCCGCGCCAUUCUCUUCUUGAAGACGUCGUUGUCAGGUUCCUCUCUGUGUCUGGUUCCGAGUGAAAACCUUUGCCCUCAGGGAGUCGGCAGUGGCGACGUUUCGCGUCGUUAUCCCUCUUGGGGGAGUUGUUGUGGAGCGUAGGUAGUGUAGGGUGUAGGGUGGCGUUCUACUCAGUUCUUCCCGUUUUCUAUAUCGGUGGUGUAGUCGUGUGCGUCUCGCGUGAUCCGGUUAUCCGAGGAUCGGCGUUGUAUAAGGGCUUCACAUCACUUUGUAUCGUUCGGUUGUGUACUCUGGUGUGUGUUUGCUUUAUAUAUAAAGCGGGACGAAAGCCUGUUUCGAGAACUUUUCUUAGUAGGCAGACUAAUGUAUAGGACUUUCAUGACAUAUUUUUGAACACACAAUAGAAGUAUUAGCUUUGAGAACGAACUCUAUAUGGGAACAAACUUCCUAAAGAUUUUGCAUGCGUGUCUUUUCACGUAGGUGCUAAGGACGCGCUACUACGAAAGUCCUCUUCUGCUCCCGAGCUCGAUGAAUUACAAUCUGAUUUUUUUUAAACUCAGAAAAAACAUCUGUAGCAAACUUUUUAAGUGUUUUGGGCGCUUGAAAAUUUUCAUCAUGAAAUGACAUUGUGGAAUUCAUGAAAAAAACCAGCACUCCAAAAUGCUUUCGAAAAUAACAUUUUUGGGCAACGUUUUUUCCUUUUUUUUGUGUCAUGACUUUCACGAAUGUCAUUUCAUGACAAUGUUUUGCAAGCACAAAAACAUUUGUCAAUGUUGGCCAUAUAAAUAAAUUCAGAAUUGUUUGAUUUUUUUAUUUUUUUUAUUUCAUUGCUCAUCAGGAAGCAUUUGAGCUCGGGAGCAGAUACUUCUCAUUCCUACUACUAUCGGUUAUGUUUCUGGAAAGGAAAAAAAACAUGAAAUAGACAUACCAACCAUAGUAUUGGAUCUGUUUAUGAAAGGCCAGUCCAUUUGCUACCUCGUUUAAGCAUUUUUUGCAAUUUUCUUUUUCCUCCUAUGGUUCUUAGGGUUUCCUUCCCGGGUUUCCUGUUUUGGUUUUCUCAUUGUUACCAUAGAUUUCAUUCACAUGUUUUCUCUUUUCGUUUUAUUGUUUUUCCCUGUUAAUUUUUCUGCUGUUCUAUAUAUUUUUUCUAUUCCUUUCCUAAUUUAUUUUCUAAAAUAUUAACAUUUAAGAGAAAAUUGAAAACAUUGCACGGGCCUGUCCGGCCGCGCCCUAGUGGUUGCAUCACCACUGACGCAUGUGCCCAAUAGUAGAAAGACCAAGGCUAGCCGUGACACGUGUCAACUGUACCACUACUUCAACAUGUGCAUCCUCAAAAAGAAACGAGGGAGCCUCAGACGUAGUCUAAUUUGCAGGGGUAGACAAAGGUUUAGCACUACAUAAGCGACUUGAUGCCAACAUUAGUCUCUGCUCUUUUGCUCUAUCUCGUUCAUCCAAACAUUUCCCAUUUAUGCAUGUAACGUUGACAGUUGCACGUGAGAAGUGUAUAGCUAGAUGACAUUGAGCACUUAUAAUUCAUAGACCAAUCUUCAUAUACAAAAAAUCAUCACACAUUACAGAUAACAGAAGAGAUGAAAUACCCACAUCUAGACAUCCAUGAUGAGAACUUGUACAUAAGCUGCAAGUCGCCAUUGCUGUGCAGGUCAACAUUUAUUAUGUAAAGAGUUCUAUAGAUAUUUAGGGAAAUUUUAUUUUAAGUAAGUAGGAUGCUAUAUCCAUGAAGUUCCAAACAAGAAUGGGCCCACCAAGUAAUUGUGAGCCACACUAAACUUGGACAAGGAUGUAUGAGCUGCACCAGGGAAGCCGAAAUCAAUCCACUGACAAGGAUGUAUGAGCUGCACCAGUACAAGGUCAUAUCAACGACGAUCAUCAUAUGUAGUUCUAGAUGAUAUCAACGACGAUCAUCAUAUGUAGUUCUAGAUGAUAUAGCCACACACACACAUAUGUAGUCUAGAUGAUAUCGAAGACAAUCAUCAUCCUCGAGCCUGGGCGGUUGGUGUUCCUGAUAGUAAUUAGGAUGGCCUGUCCAACACGAAGAUUCUUGCUAUCGAGGAAUUUCUUCCACCCAACCGAGUUUAAGUGUGUGCGACGGUCCGUGUCCACACGGUAAGUACAGGUUGUGACGAAACCCCUUGCAGUAAGGCGUAGUCCAGCUGAGCCUUCUUCAUCAGGCUCGAUACCAUAACUCACAAAUAUGCUCUUUGCCAAUUUCUGAAUAAGAAAAACAUUUCAAUUAAUAAAUAGCCUCGCAAAUAAGUACAUAUGGAUUAUCUACACUAUUAAUAGUUUCCUUAGAUUCUACACUAAUAAGUAUGUGAUCGAACUCUACACUAAAACAUAUCAUCGACUAGAUUCCACACAACAUACCAUAUCAUUGGACUGUACACUAAGUAUUUCAUCGGAUAAUUUGCAUUUGUAAGUAUAAUAUACCAUAUCAUGUCGAUCAACCAUGGUAUUUGUCAGGCGGGUCACGACUAGCACCCCGACAAAGUCAGCACGUGGCGGAAUUAUGUCCCACAGGUUGGACACCUCCUCCUCGCUCAGCCUUGUUCUUUGAGCUACGAUGGCUUCAUGAAGUGGGUCCUAUCAUCUUCAUCGAGUGGGUCCUCAUUAUCUUCAUCAUCUUCAUCAUCUUCCACCAGGUUGAGAUAAAUGACAGCUAGCUUGGGUCUUUCUGCUCUGAAGGAGAAGCUGAUCAACUCACCACCAGUAAGACGCAUGCGAGCGACGAAACAGGCCAAUCCAUCUCCUCCAAUCUGCGACAUAUUGCGUCCUUUCUCGACCUCCAUAGUGUACGGCCCCCCAGGAGCCUCAAAUGUCACAAUGUCUCCUGUCAGCUUGUUGAAUUUCAACCUCACAUUGCAUGGGACGUUCUGUGUAAAAUAAGCAAAAUGACACAAUGUAGUAAUGCCAACACUAAAAAUAAAAUAGUUAUUACAUUUCAUCUAAUUUCUUACCGCCGCAUGACGAAAACCCGGCUGGAAGUAGAUGCUGAACAACUUGCCAGUUGCAAGGCUGCUGGCGCACCUUGACUUGCACAGUCGACAUAGUGGUGGUGGUGGUGGCGCCAUUUUUCCGAAAGCAAUAUGAGCAAAGGAUUAACGAUCCACUUCACAGGAAAGAAAAAUAGUAGCAUGCGAUAUUUUUGGUUCUUCCGCGAGAAGCAAUUUGAUGGACAAUUAUAAUCCUAAGAUCUAGUAACAUAUUAGAUGACAAGGUACCACCUACAUUUUGCCAGAAAGUAACUUAUUAAAAAAAACAAAAGCAACUACGUACCUAUCCAUGUACAGAAAAAAUAACAAUAAAAUGGUGCAUACUAAAUCAACUAAAUGAACUAGCCUACUAAAUCAACUAAAUCAAAAUGUUCUAAAUCAACUAAAUGAACUAGCCUACUAAAUCAACUAAAUCAAAAUGUUCUAAAUCAACUAGCCUACUAAAUCAACUAAAUCAAAAUGUUCUAAAUCAACUAGCCUACUAAAUCAACUAAGUCAAAAUGUUGCAUAUGAACUAGCCUACUAAAUAAAAAUGUAGCAGGCAGGAGGGAGAAGGAGGGGCGACUCGAGGAGGGAGAAGAGAGUAGGACGGAGGAGGAAGGCGGAGCGAGGAGGGGCCGGCCGGCGGCCAGUGGAGGGAGGACGGAGGAGGAAGGCGGAGCGAGGAGGGGCCGGCCAGCGGCGAGUGGAGAGGGAGGACGGAGGAGGAGGCUGGUACCGAGUCCAGCAAGCAGGAGGAGGUGACGACGGCGCAGAGGGAGGAGGGGCGACGGGGGAGGACCGUCGCGGGGGAUUGAGAGGGAUGCAGUGAGUGUGUGACUGUGAGUGGAUCGGAUAGAGGAGAUGGGGGUGGGAGAUGGAAUGACUUAGCAGUAGCGCGCUAUAGAGAAAGACACUACUGCUAAACUACCUAGCAGCAGCGUCUUUCACAAAGAAGCGCUACUGCUAUGUGUCAGCAUGUAAAAAGAGACUUAGUUCAAUGUAUCAAAAAUACAUUGAUCAUCAACGAUCUUUUUGUGUACAAUCUGAUAUGUCAAUAUGAGUCCUCACCGGUUUAGGAACAGGUGAAGACUCAUAUUGCAGCCACAAAUUCUACACAUAGAGUUCAAUGAAGACCAAGUGCUUGUCAAAGUUUGAGAAGUAACAUAUUUAAGGUGGUAGAAACUCUCUUCAUAGAGCGAGGUGAGACUAAAUUUUUGUAGUAAACUUAGUAGUAGCGCUUAUUGGCGAAAUGCGCUGCUACUAUGCUACGUAGCAGUAGCGCCCGUCGAUAUAACGCGUUGCUGCUAUAGCUAGCCUUGCGGCGGCCUCGUGGGAAUUAUAGCAGUAACGCGUCUUUGAGCGGGUGCACUAUUGCUAUAUUUAUUUCAGCAACGAGUUAUUCUUGAGCUCGCUACUGCUAAUUAGCAGCAGGGCCUUAUUUUAAAGCGCGCUACUGAUAAGAUUCUGUGUAUAGGCUUUUCUCUAGUAGUGGAGGCGUGUCAACCAUUAGGACCUCCGCCGCGGGGUCGCUGCUGUCGCACUCAGACAGGGUCUCGACGGAGACAGUCGAACAUGCCGUAAAGAGAUUCGUCGGGCUCGAUUGCCGUGAUUUGAGGGCUGGCCGGCUGAUGCGCCACCGCAUGCUUCACCCACCGCUGUAGCUGUGACCAACCGGGUCGCUUGUGACGGCGAACAGCAGGGAGCGAAGAUGCCGCGGGGGCCGACCGAUACUGAGUCGACGGUUGCAGCAGAAGGACACUGCAAACGCACGCGCGAAAGUGCGUCGCCCCGCGGAUGGGGAGCGCCUCGACGUCGAGAGGAGCUUCCUGAAGCCAAGCGGAGUCGUUGGCGAUGAAGACGAGCGUGUCGAGACGGAUCUUGUGGCCCUCAGCCAAACCUCCACCGGAAAUCAUGAUGAAAGGACUCAGAGAAAUCGCAACGUCACUGGAAUGUCGCUAAGACACCUGCCCCAUGGUGGGCGCCAACUGUCGUGGUUCUAAGUCCGACAGUAAAGUAGGGGGUAGGAAUGUAGAGGCAAGAUCCUAGCUACGGUGAGAUUGUGCACGCAAGAUGUACGAGUUCAGGCCCUUCGCGGUGGAAGUAACAUCCCUACAUCUCGGUGCCCGGAGGCUCGGUCGAUUGGAUUAUGCGUGAAGUUACAGGGGUGCGAACCCCUGUCCCAGAGGAGGGGGUGGAUUAUAUAGAGUGCGUCAAGACCCCAGCCAUCCCCCGUUACAUAGGGUUCAAUGUAUAUAAUGAUGAGGUGCUACUGGUAACGCCAGUAAUAAAGUCAUAUAAUUGAUCAUUAAUGUUGCGGAGUGAAUGCCUGACCGUUGCUAUCUGGAGUGACUUUAGACCUUCUGUACUCCGAGUGGUUUCUUGUGCUGUCGAGUGAUGGUAUGCUUGGUCGAAUGGAAUUGGGGUAUCCGAGUGGAGGCGUUGGUCGAGUGAGCAUGCACUCAUGUGAUUCCAGCCGGUUUGAACUUGUUGUCCUUUGACUCUAGGGCAGUGUCCUUGGGAGGGGUUCUUAGAUCAGAUCUAUUGCCCUACCCUAGGUACACAACAUCGUCACGCGGGGAAAGACAGGGGAGGGUGCCGCCCCAUUCCUUUCUCCCAUGAGGAGGGAAAGGCGGGAGGGGCUAGCCCUCCCACCUUUCCUUCCCUAGGGCCGGCGGCCAGGGAGAGGUUGCGCCAGCCCACAAGGGGCUAGUGUGUGCCUCCCCUUGGCCCAUUAGGCCCAUGUAAUUCCCGUAGGUCUCCUGGAACCCCUUCCAGUGACCCGAUGCAUACCCGGUACAUCCCGAAACCUUUCUGGUGACCAAAUAACAUCGUUUUAUAUAUCAAUCAUUACCUCCGGACCAUUCCGGAGCUCAUCGUCAUGUCUGUGAUCUCAUCUAGGACUCCAAACAACAUUCAGUCACCAAUUCACAUAACUCAUAUAAUACUAUAUCGCCAAUGAACGUUAAGCGUGUGGACCCUACUGGUUUGAGAAUGAUGUAGACAUGACCGAGACGCCUCUCCAGUCAAUAACCAAUAGCGGAACCUAGAUGCCCAUAUUGGUUCCUACAUAUUCUACGAAGAUCUUUAUCGGUCGAACCUUUAUGACAACAUACGUAAUUCCCUUUGUCUGUCGGUAUGUUACUUGCCCGAGAUUCGAUCGAUGGUAUCUUCAUACCUAGUUCAAUAUCAUUACCGGCAAGUCUCUUUACUCAUUUUGUAAUACAUCAUCUGGUAACUAACUCCUUAGUUACUUUGCUUGCAAGCUUCUUGUGACGUGUAUUACCGAGAGGGCCCAGAGAUACCUCUCCGAUACACGGAGUGACAAAUCCCAAUCAUGAUCCAUGCCAACUCAACAGACACCUUCGGAGAUACCUGUAGAACAUCUUUCUGAUCACCCAAUUACGUUGUGAUAUUUGAUAGCACACAAGGUAUUCCUCCGGUAUCCGGGAGUUGCAUAAUCUCAUGGUCGAAGGAAUAUGUAUUUGACAUUAAGAAAGCAGUAGCAAUAAACUGAACGAUCAUAUGCUAAGCUAAUGGAUGGGUCUUGUCUAUCACAUCAUUCUCCUAAUGAUGUGAUCCCGUCAUUAAUUGACAACAUAUGUCCAUGGUUAGGAAACCUUAACCAUCUUUGAUCAACGAGCUAGUCUAGUAGAGGCUCACUAGGGAGACGGUAUUUGUUUCUGUAUUCACAUAUGUAUUUAAGUUUCCGAUCAAUACAAUUCUAGCAUGAAUAAUAAACCUUUAUCAUGAAUAAGGAGAUAUAAUAAUAACAACUUUAUUAUUGCCUCUAGGGCAUAUUUCAGUAAAUAUACAAAAAAUAGAAUGUCAAACGACAAAAAAAAUCAAGAUUGGUUCACGCUGAAACUGUACUAGAUGAGGGUGAAAAAAUUUCAUUCAACGUCAGCCAUGGAUCUUGCAAAAGAAAAAAAUCAACUAUGAAGCUAUGUGUUUUUAUGUAUGAGAAAUCAAAAGGUACAUGCUAAGAAAGGAAUACUUCAUGAUAUCCAUGAAAAAAAUGAAUAACACGUUUGUGUAGACAAGAUUUCAAAUUCUACAGAUUCUAUUGCUUCAUGAUUUGCAUCUAGUUAUAUAUGGAAUGCCUGAACUCCAUAAUGUUUAUUUUAGUGAAUAUUAUGUUUUAGUAAUGGAACAACAGUGCUACAAAUCGGAAUCCCUACUCCGGACUUGACUUGGUUGAUUCAUUCUGGAGACUAAUUGUUCUAAAGUGCAUGCAUAUUUGUGUGGGCAAUAGGUUUUCACUGGUUGAUUUGAAGCGAGAAACACUCCUGAGUUAUUAACUUUUUCCUUAGUUUUAAACUUCUAAAGAUAAGGAGAGGGGCAAACAAAGUGGCACACGAGAUUGCCAAGUUUUGUUCUGGUGUUCAAUCUGAUGCUAUAUUAGAGGGUUCUGUUCCUCAAUGUGUGGUGUCUUGUGUAACAGAUGAUUGCAAUUCUCUUUAUAGUUAAUAUAUGGGUUGUUUUACAAAAAGCACAUACUAAAAAAUAAAUACUUCCAUGCUCUCCAUGAAAAACGAAUGACAUAUAUUUAAAAUUCUUCAAAUUCUAUGGCGCUUCAAGAUUGGUGCCAUAUAUUUUUAUAUGGAAUUAUAUAAACACCAUUUUUUUGAACGCACAAUAUUUUGUUUUAGCAAUACCCCUGCCCCCUUCCCCUAUGGCCAUGUGCCCAUGCCCGCAUGAUAUUAACUUGGCCCCUAGGCUGUUGUCUUGUCUACAAGAGAAAACAACAUGAUUGCAGCUAGAGACAAAGUUGACCUUGGAGUUGCAUAUACCAUUUUUUUGGUGGAGAGCUAUCAAGUUGAGGCUCCCCUGGACGUCUGACAGACCUUUCAUCUGUAGCGGCUCCAUUUCCGUUUCACAGUGGGUCUUGCGCGCUAGCACCAAUAGAAAAACGGGCAUUAUCAGCGGCCCCGGAGAUGGUUGUGUCCCCAUGUUCCAAAUCCGCCUGUAAUAUUCCAUCAAAGGUGGUUAUUUCUUUGGUCGAGGAGGUUGAAAUUUGAAAGCGCCUAUAGUAAACAUCAAAGGCGGUUGUGAUUUUGAAACCGCCUAUAUUUAAAAAAAAUUGGAGGCAGUUUUUGAAAUGAAACCGCCUGUGGUACUUCCACNNNNNNNNNNNNNNNNNNNNNNNNNNNNNNNNNNNNNNNNNNNNNNNNNNNNNNNNNNNNNNNNNNNNNNNNNNNNNNNNNNNNNNNNNNNNNNNNNNNNNNNNNNNNNNNNNNNNNNNNNNNNNNNNNNNNNNNNNNNNNNNNNNNNNNNNNNNNNNNNNNNNNNNNNNNNNNNNNNNNNNNNNNNNNNNNNNNNNNNNNNNNNNNNNNNNNNNNNNNNNNNNNNNNNNNNNNNNNNNNNNNNNNNNNNNNNNNNNNNNNNNNNNNNNNNNNNNNNNUUCUCCACUCCUACUCAAAGAAACGAAUCUUCCGUCACAACAUCUUCAGCAUCCACAUCCCGAUAGGGUAAUGGGGUAAGUGGGCUAGUGCCCACCACUAGCUUCGCCAGCAAGCCACAUGGACAACCACUUGUAGGAGUCAUUCCUGCCGAUGCUGCCUGAUUUAUCGCCGCAUUAGUUGUGUCAACAUCUGGGCAAGGCAGGGGGUAACUGUGUCGGCUCCACCAGUGCCCCAGUCGGCAAGCCUUGAGGAUGACCACCUGAAGGAGUCCUUACCGACGUCGCUGGGAAUAAGUGUGUUGGAACCACUGCCUCUGCUGGUUUUGAUGUUUCAUGUCUUGCAUUUCCGUAGCUUCUGCAAGAGAUUUUGGUUGUAAAAAUGAAUAUCAUUAGCUGUUCAUCUAUUGUUUCGACAAAAAAAAUUCUCAAGUCCUCCUGAUAUUUUGGAUGUUAGAUGGACACACAUUUCUGUCUACUUUUAGAGUUAGUGUAUUACGGAGAUCCCCAAACAAAUUAUGCACUAGCCCAAUUCAACAUACCUUUCUGUAAUCUCUUUCACAUUCAGCCACACAUUACAAAAAGACUCCUUCGACGUUAAAAAAAGAGGCAUAGUUCUGUUCAGGCUUCCCGACGGGCGUGGCGUGCCACCACACUUCCGCGUGUUAGUUAGGAUACUAAACCCCCUAGAUUUGGAGCCUCCCGAUGCGUUGGGGGUUGUGGGGUACUGGGGUCGCUUGGGCCCAUCUGUAAGGGUGUUAAAUUCGCUAAUAUAUUUGAAGUCCACGAACAUUAAGUUUUUGACCUUUUUUUGAAAUCUAUGAACAACUGAAAGAAAUCAUGGUUUUUAAAUUUACAAAAAAAAAACAAAAAACAUAUAGUUUUUAACAUUGAACACGAUAUAUAUUUAAUGACCUACUUGCCUCCGGUGAUCACCACACAUGCAUGCCCACGUUGCACCCCGCAGCCCCUGCCUACCUCCCGCCACACUUCGAUUCAUUCGCCAGCCACUACCGUCGUUGGAAAUGACGCACCAAGCUGCCGAGAGCUCAUCGACGUGGAGCCGGAACGACACUGCACAUCCACCCCGAGUGCUCGCUCCGCCUUCGGACCUCUAAUUCGGGCCGCCACUGCUUCCUUGAGCUCCAUGUAGCAGCGACUUACUGCCCAAGUACCGAGGCAUGCGGUAGCAGCCAUGGGCACUUGGGAAACGAAAAUCCCAAAUUCAGAUAGGCGGGAGAAGAGGUGGCUCGAUUUAUUCGCCACCACGCGGAGGAGGCGGCACAAGCGUUCGACGUGAUGGAGCUCCGCUCCUUAGGGAGCCCGAUGAAGCAUAAUUUCUCCGUCGACACCCUCAUAGAAGCUCGAGGCUGAGUGUGGCAAUUCGGCCCUACAUGGCCGAGCUCAUCGCAAAGAACCGCAAUUCCUCGCCAGAUAUUCGACGAGCUCUUGGCCGAGCUCUCCGAGGAGGAGGAGGAGAUGGCGGCACCAACAAUGACGAGGCCGGCCCCUCACCGAGGUUAUAGUGCCACAGUUGGAUCAUCACUAUCACCCAGCCAGCAUAUAUUUAGAAACUAUCCUUAAUUGCAAAAACUCCAGUAGCUUGUAAACUCGUAUAUAGUACGAUCAUCCAAACCCUACGGCCCACACACAACUCAACUGAACCGGACCUUGAGACCACACCCCAUCGCACAGACCAGACCACACUCCUCAUCGAUCCCCUCCCAAUUGAAACCCUCGCCGCCGUCACCCACCAUGCCGCCGCCGCCACCAUCACUGCCGGGCGAGCUCCUCGAGGAGAUCUUCCUCCGCCUACCGCCGCACGAGCCCGCGUGCCUCGUGCGCGCCUCCCUCUCCAGCAAGCUCUGGCUUGUCCUCCUCUCCGGCCCUCGUUUCCGCGGUCGCUACCAUGACCACCAUGGAUCUCCUCCCAUGCUGGGCUUCCUUCGUGGUUUCUGGCUGGAGGGCUGCCACCGGGCGAAAAAGGUCCCGUCCCGCGCUUCACGUCCACCGCAAAAUUCGGCGCCCGCAUUCCCGACGAUGAAUGGGACGACUGUGACUACUUUGCGUGGGACUGCCGCCAUGGCCGCGUCCUUCUUGGGGAUGCGCUUAACUCCGUGCUCCUCGUCUGGGACCCCAUGACGGGCUGCCGGAGGGGGCUGGACUGGCCCAACCUGGUGGACGAUAGCCGCGGGGUUGCCGUGCUAUGCGCCCUUAGCGGCUGUGACCACCGCACUUGUCACGCGGCUCCCUUUCAGGUGGUUUUUGUCGGCAUGGAAAUGGGAGAAGAUGAGGAUGAUGAUUGUGCUGCAUUUGCUUGUGUGUCCUUGCCAGAGACCGGUGACUGGAGCAAGCCAUGCCCUACAUUGGAUCAGUGGGGCGAGCCAUGCCCACUUCUUCAUCUUCCAGCCGAUGCAUUCAUCAGGCCAAUCCCCCCCUGUCCUCAUCCAAGAAGCACUUCACUUCAUGAUUCAGUCUCUUAAAGAUGAUAGUGAAGAAAUUCUCAAGUAUGACUUGAGCUCUAAUAGCUUAUCAUUGAUUGGUGCACCGAUUCAGGAUCCUGAAAUUGUCAGUUACUCUAUCCUCCUGGCGAUGGCGGAUGGCAGUUUGGGGUAUGCAUAUGUCAACGGAUCAACCCUCUACCUGUGGUCAAGACUCAGCCUGGACACGGUCCGGGCCGGUCCGGUCCCGGUCCGAGCCAGCGUUUUGGACCGGCCGCCGGCGGUCCGGUCCGGACCGGACCGAACUGUCAAACGAGCUAGUAUUCUAGGACCGGACCAUUGGAGUGCCAGCUCGGUCAGGCUCGAGAGGACCGAAUGGACCGUCCAGCUUUUAGCUCCUGUUUGUUGCCAGGCAGUGUAUAUUUGCUCCUUUUAGGUCGUAUUUGUUGCCAAGCAGUGUAUGUUUAGGCAUCUGCUGGUUUUGGAGAGUAGAUUAAUCAAAAGUACAACAACAACAACACUACUGUUAGCUACUACCUAGGCUGUGUUCUACUGUUUAGGCAUCACAUACUGACAUGGAUGUAAUAUGACAAGUCAUCAGUGAUCACUACAGUUUUCAGAUAAGUUUGGACCGAAACAGCAGAAAUAUCACAGCCACAAACAACUAAUUUGGACAGAAAGCACUGGACUAAAUUUGGACAGCAAGAAUAACUAAAUUUGGACAGCAUUUCCUUUGUUUUUUGGACAUCCACAAUCUGAUUUUGACAGAAAAGAUGACACAAAUCAGGUUAAGCACAAAUAUCACAUCCACAAACAUAAGGUCUUAUCAUCAUCGAACGACACGAUUACAAACUUGCAAUGACAAUUCCAAGUCCAUGUCAAUUGACAAGUUGAACAUAACAUAAAUGAGAGGUUCAUCUCCAAGCUAGCAGUGACAAUUCAUAGUUCAUGACUUGAAAGGUUCCAACAUAACAGAAAUGCAAAAGUAGCCUUCACAUGAGAAAUAUCACUUUGACAUUCAUCUCCAAAAUAGCAAGAUCAACAUCCACAUGAUGAACGUCUACAAGUAAGAUAAGCAACAUUCACAUAAAUAAUACUUGGUAUCGUAUGACAAGUGAAACAUGUAGGAAGAAUAGUUACCAAUCAUUGAUCUCCUCCACCACAAUGGGUAACUUGAUGUUCUCAACAUCAUCCUCUUCAUUCUCAUCCCUCGGCUACAAGUGUGGAAGUUAGACAAAUGCUCACAUCACAAACAACAAGACCAAAAAAGAAAGAAAGAAAGGUAAGGAAAAGAUGGCAAACAUACUACCAGAUUCAAGUCAACAUGAGCACCCUUGAUAUAACUUGCAC